GGCUCUGGCACAUGCUAAUACAUGCAGUCGAGCGAACUGAUUAGAAGCUUGCUUCUAUGACGUUAGCGGCGGACGGGUGAGUAACACGUGGGCAACCUGCCUGUAAGACUGGGAUAACUUCGGGAAACCGAAGCUAAUACCGGAUAGGAUCUUCUCCUUCAUGGGAGAUGAUUGAAAGAUGGUUUCGGCUAUCACUUACAGAUGGGCCCGCGGUGCAUUAGCUAGUUGGUGAGGUAACGGCUCACCAAGGCAACGAUGCAUAGCCGACCUGAGAGGGUGAUCGGCCACACUGGGACUGAGACACGGCCCAGACUCCUACGGGAGGCAGCAGUAGGGAAUCUUCCGCAAUGGACGAAAGUCUGACGGAGCAACGCCGCGUGAGUGAUGAAGGCUUUCGGGUCGUAAAACUCUGUUGUUAGGGAAGAACAAGUACAAGAGUAACUGCUCGUACCUUGACGGUACCUAACCAGAAAGCCACGGCUAACUACGUGCCAGCAGCCGCGGUAAUACGUAGGUGGCAAGCGUUAUCCGGAAUUAUUGGGCGUAAAGCGCGCGCAGGCGGUUUCUUAAGUCUGAUGUGAAAGCCCACAGCUCAACCGUG
Molecule: ribosomal RNA, 601 nt
Filed under: Priestia megaterium
Lineage: Bacteria; Bacillati; Bacillota; Bacilli; Caryophanales; Bacillaceae
Description: bacterial SSU rRNA
Rfam family: Bacterial small subunit ribosomal RNA
Source: RNAcentral